This is a long non-coding RNA of Neofelis nebulosa (Clouded leopard), 5282 nucleotides long. RefSeq lists it as uncharacterized. The transcript is spliced from 3 exons. The record is from RefSeq and is a predicted model, not a curated record. Lineage: Eukaryota; Metazoa; Chordata; Mammalia; Carnivora; Felidae.
UAAAGCAUUCUUUCCUAAAGUGUGAUUGUCAUCAUGUGAAAACCAUGCCUAUGUGAUAAAGCAAAGUCACAAAGGAUAAUGCUAAUAGAUUUGCUAAUACAUUUUAAAGGUUCGUUGUAAUAUGGAAACAGAACCAAAAAGUAAACGAUACAGUUUGACACAAAAUAUAUACAAUAAGUAUAUUAAAAAGCUAGUAUAUGUAAUAUGUAAAGAACUCUUCAACUUAAAAAAAAUUCCAAGUGAUCGUUCAUAAAAUAACUAAUGGAAAGGACCUGAUUGUUUUUAGUCAUUCUCACUAUAACCCAAAAAAAGCAAAUUAAAAACUCCAGUGAGUUAAUAAAAUUUUACCCAUCAAAUUGGCAAAGAAGAAAAAAGGCAGUAGGAAUUUGUAAGGGAGAUUGAUAUUCUUGUACACACAGGAGGCAGAAUAAUAAAUUGAUUCAGUUUUUCUAGAAAGCAGUUAGGCAACAUUUGUCGAACAUUUAAAAAGGUUUAUCCCUUUGUGGUUUGUUUUUUAAAUGUUUAUUUAUUUUGAAAGAGAACACGUGUGAGUCGGGGAGGGGCAGAGAGAAAGUAGAGAGAAUCCCAAGCAGGCUCCACUCUGCCAGUGCAGAGUCCGACAAGGGCCUCAAUCCCACGAACCGUGAGAUCGUGACCUGAGCCGAAACCAAGAGUCGGACGCCUAACCGACUGAGCCAUGCAGUUGCCCAGGGUUUAUCCCUUUGACCCAGUAAUGCCACAUCGAUGCAAGUAUGGUCAGAAAAUAAUCAGAGAUAGCACAGGAAGACUUAUAUAUGAUAAUGUUCAUUGCAACACUGUUUAUACUAGCAAAAAGGAUAAAAUAAAUAUAUGCCAUUCUUAAAUGUUAUUUAAUUAACCAUGUUAUCAGAUUAGGAGAUACUUUAAUUUUUUGAAAAUAUUUUUGAAACAUUAAUGAUAUGGAAAAGUCUUCAAAAAGUGCCGAGUAAGAGUUGGAUUCAAGUUUAUGUACUUUAUAUAGUCUCCCUUUUAAAAAUAUUUUAUGUACAUAUAUAAAAAUAUGUGGAUGGAAAUAUACUAAUGUACUACCAGUAGGUUCUCUCUGGGUGUUUGGGAUCGUGGCUGUUUGUUUUCUGUAAAAUUUUGAUUUCCAGUUGUCAUAGAAGGAGUAUGUAUCUCUCUCUCACACACACACAUACACACACACACACACACACACACACCCCAAAUGUUAUUUAAAAAAGAAUUGCCUUCCUAAUUAUUAACUAUAAUUCAUUUAAGUAAAUUUGGCUUUUGUGUAACAAAAUAAAUUUCGGAGGAGGGCACUUGUCUUUAACCGGCAGUUGUAUUGAAUAUAGUUGCAGUUAGUAAGGCUUUCAGCUGGGAAGAACCGAAAGCCCGGUGUAGUCAUACCGGUGUAGGCAUAGGGUGUUGGUUCAGUAGUUCAGCGGGAGGGCUGGUGUGUCUCGAAUCCCACAUUGUCGCCAAAUAGGUGCCUGAAUGCCUGGCAGUGCGCCAUUCAAGGUGGGAGGGGUGCCGGGAAAGGGGCCAGGGAGGGCCAGCACCAUUUGUCUCUUUUGUCAGGUAUGCAAUAGCUUUUCCCAAGGCGAGUUUUAGAUUUCAUUUGACACAGCUGUGUUCUACGACCAUCGCCAGGACCAGGAAAGUGACCGUUUAGCUUUUAAAGCCCGAGUAUUAGGGGCAGGCAGGGGAGAAAGGGGUUGGAAACGGGUAUCGGAUUAGUUAGCUAACAAUAUCUGCCACCAGUAACAAACAGAAAAUCUUCACUUAGAUUGCGAUAGUCACUAAAUACUGGAAAAAUUAAAAAUAGAUGAGGGUUUUUUGUUUGUUUGGCUGUUAGUACUUUCCUCUGACUCCCGUUAGGCUGCCAUGAAUUAUGGUUUGCUUCUGCCUCAUUUCAAGUGAUUAGUAGAUGUAGUAGGCAGAAUAAUGGCCCUCCAAAGAUAUCCCUGGCCUCAUUGCCAGGACCUGCGAAUAUGUCACAUCACGCAACAAAGGGGAAAUGAAAUCGCCCAUCCGCAGGUAGGGAGAAUGGUGUGGAUCAUCCAGGUGGGCCCUAUAAGGAUAAGGGUCCUUAAAAGCGGAGGAGGGCAGCAGAAGCGUCAGGAAAGAGAUGGGAUGAGGGGAGCAGGGCGCAGAUACAGUGUUGCUGGAUUUGGAGAUGGAAGACGGGGGCCGGGAGCCAAGCAAUGUGAGUGGCCUGUAGCAGUUGGAAAGGGCAGGGACGUGGGAUUCACCCUACAGUUCAGAAAGGAAUGUAACCAGUGAGACCGGUGUUGGGUUUCUCACUUACAGAACCGUUAAGAGAAAGAAAUGAAUGUUGUCUUACGUCUCUAAGUUUGUGGUCAUUUGUCACAGCAGCAGUAGAAAAGGAAUAGGUUUUGUGGCAUGUACGGGUAUCGGAUCAGCACACUAAAAAAAAAAAAAUUGUACAAUGUCAUAUGCCAAUUAUCUCUCAAAGUAGGGGGAAAAAACCACUAGAGGUUUUGGUACCUUGGAGUGGGGUGCUACGGUAACAAGUACCUAAGACUCUGGAAAUGGCUUUGGAGUUGGGCAAUGAGUAGAUGCGGGAGGAAUUUGGGGGCGCAGGACAGAAAAAGCUGACACCGUCUUGAACAGAACGUUAGUAGAAACCGGGAUGUUAAUGAAGGGUAGACUCAGAAAGAAGUGAGGAGUAGAGAAAACACUGUUCAUGGUAGAGAAUGCAGAGAUCGUUGGCGGGAAUGUGGACGUUAAUGGCGCCGCUGCGGAGGGCUCAGAAGGAGAUGAGGAGGGCGUUUAGGUCCUGGAGGGAAGGGAACCCUUGUCCUGUGGUGGCAGAGAGCUUAGGAUUGUGCCCUGAAGUUAUACAGAAAUCAGGACUCGUGAGCUUGGCUGUUUAACUGAGAUUUCCAGAGUGUUGAGGUGCGGCCUGGUUUCUUUUUGCCACUCACGGUAACACGUGUGAGAGUAGAGAAAUAAAUCGAGGAGACACCCGUGAAAGAACCAGACGUUCCUUACAAAUCCCAAAUCAUUAUGUUGUGCACUUGAAACUGAUAGGUUAUAGGUCCACUAUGCCAAAAAAAAAAAAAAAAAAAAUCAAGAGUUUUUUUGGAAAUUCUCAGCCCGCCCUAAUUGCAAAGGACGCAAACAUCAAGAGAUUCAGUAGGAAAGUGUGCUCUAAAGGAAAAGUCAAAGGAGUUACUCUAUAGCCUUUUGCUAACACCCCAGGAGGAUGAAAAGGUCAGAGUCUUCACUCACACAAAACACUCUGAAGAGAUCAAGGGUGUGACUCAUAGAUUCCCUCUGCAUCUAAGCAGAAGCCGGAAAUAGAGAUGGGGUUGUUUAGGCAAGAUCUGUGGUGAGGCUCUGGUCUAAUGGAGUGAGUCUCUGUACGUAUAUGGUAGUCCCACAGGGCUCUUGAGGAUCUUAACCAGCAUCACCGCCAGCGUGGACUGAAAGGGACAGAGGGAGGACAAAGUGAGAGAAAGUUGCCCGGGUCCCAAAUUCUACAGCAGGAUAUGGGCCGAGAAGACCGAAGACUGCUCAGCUUUAAACACAUGCUGCCCUUUAUGAAAACGAAAGGAUGGCCCUGAGGGCAGGGGAGCAGGACCAGAGCAUGGAGUGGAGAAUGACUGAGCAUUCUGCCCAGCACCCGAAACCUUUUCCAGCUUGCUUGGCUGGGUUUCAGAAUUGCUUGGGACCAGUGACUUUCUUUUAUUUAUUUUCCCCAUUCCAUUUUCUCUUUGUGAACAGGAAUGUCUGACUAUUAUCCUGGGGUGGUCCCGCCGUUGUAUUUUGGGAGCAGAGAACUUGUUUUCUAAUUUCACAGGCCCACAGGUGGAGAGGAAUUUUGCCUCAGGAGAGAGGCUACCCAGUCUGCCCCAUACCUAAUUGAGAGGAUUUUGAUGAUAAGGUCAGGGGUUUUGAAUCCGUGGGAGGUAGAUGAGCUUCUGGACUCUAGGUUGGUGCUGUAAAGCGAUGAGAUUUGGGGGGAGCUUGGGAUGGGGUGCAUGAAUCUUGUCUGCGAGGUAGAUGUAAGCCCCACUGACACAGUCAGUUUAGCCCAAUGAGACCCACAUUGGACUUCUAACCCAUGGAACCGUAAGUUGAUAAAAUUUUGUGUUAGGCCACCAACUGUGGCCGUCUGUUACAGCAGGAAUAGAAAACUAGACACGGCCAUUCAGCACAUGUAGACAACGAUGUGACCUUGCUGGGAAACCAUGGUGAUUAAGAAAACCUGAGGGCAGACACCUCACAAAAGAGUAUAUGAGUGGCCAAUAAAUACGUGGAAUGUUCUAGAUGUUAUUAUCAGGGAAAUGCAGAUUAAAGCCCCAGUGAGAUAUCAUUCCAUACCCAUUAGAAUCUAGGUUCAAACCACAAAGCCCGACAGCACCAAAGUCAAAGAGCCUGCUCCAAGGCCAGGUGCGUUGUAGGGGGGGUGUAGGAUAGCAUAGCCACCUUAGAGAAACUUACGCAGAAGACUUCCAAGAGGAAAGAAUAAUUUAAAGCCCCGAAAGGCUCCAGGUACACUCGACCAAUUAUCAAUGUUUUGGAAUGGAUCAAUUCAACAUUAGAAAGAUUUCAGUCCUCUCUAAAUUAGUAAGUUCAAUGCAAUCUCAGUGAAGCAGCCCACAGGCCGUAUAUUAUGAACGUAGAAAAAUUGAUACUAAAGUUUCAGUCAAAAAACAAGUAUUUAGGAAUAGCCAGGAAAGAACUGUAGAAGAACUGGGAGCUCUCCCAGUCAGUGAAGCAUUAAGGCCUGGACCCUUAAAGCAGUAUGGUCCUGGCACAUGGAUGGACAGACCAGGGGAAUAAAAUUGUGUGAUGACUUUGUAAUGUGUCACCAUGGCCAUGCUGAUCUACAUCGUCAGAGGUUUUUUUGGUACAAAUGUAUAGAAUUAGACCCCAAUACACAUAGAAAUGUAGUAUAUGACAACGGGUGGCAUCUCGGAUCACUGGGAUAAACACUGGGGUGCUUUCUAAUAUGUGAUGCUGAGACAACAGAGUAGUCCCUUGGGAAAAGACAAAAUCAGAUCCAUAUGUCACAUCCUAUCCACGAAUAAACUCUAAAAGGAGAUGGGGUGCCUGGGUGGCUCAGUCGGUUAAGCGUCCGACUUCAGCUCAGGUCACGAUCUCGCGGUCCGCGAGUUCGAGCCCCGCGUCGGGCUCUGGGCUGAUGGCUCAGAGCCUGGAGCCUGCUUCCGAUUCUGUGCCUCCCUCUCUCUCUGCCCCUCCCCCGUUCAUGCUCUGUCUCUCUCUGUCUCAAAAAUAAAUAAACGUUAAAAAAAAAAAAAUUAAAA